UGUUAAAAAAUUUAUCCAUUUCUAUUAUUAAAAGCUGGCAUGACUGACAGAAUAAUCAAACAGUGACACGUGACGUCCCACGUGUACCUCUUGUUGACAUACAUGAAAUAAUUUUUAACAAUAGAAACGAAUGAAACUUUUAAUA
This is a non-coding RNA of Gossypium hirsutum (cotton), 145 nucleotides long. NCBI's taxonomy places the organism in Eukaryota, Viridiplantae, Streptophyta, Magnoliopsida, Malvales, Malvaceae. The record is from Rfam.